Molecule: unclassified non-coding RNA, 769 nt
Filed under: Priapulus caudatus
Lineage: Eukaryota; Metazoa; Priapulida; Priapulimorpha; Priapulimorphida; Priapulidae
Description: uncharacterized LOC106805819, transcript variant X1
Source: RNAcentral
GCGUCAGUGUAGGAGACAUCUUUUCCUGUCUGCGCUCGGCAUCGGUCACGUCAGGGUCUCGCAUUGAACCUGGGCUGCGCCGGCCAGAACGAGCGUUGCCAUAGCCUAAUUAAUGCAAAUCUUGCUUGCAUUGUGUGGGGUGCACUAAUCGAGCAAGGCAAGGAUGAGAUCAGGGUCAGCUUUGACGUAACGACCAUCGGUAGUGUGAAGAGAUGCAACUCGGAGACACAUCAGUACCCGGAUGCUGGUCAGUCAGCCACCUGCCACACCAGUGUGUGCAGUGACAACCGUUAGGGGAACUGUCAACGAGGACGUGUCUGCAAGUUCUCAUUCGAAAAAUUGCCCGCCGCUAAACAACGGCUCCCCGGAGACGACGUGCAAACGACUUAAUCUGCGGCAGUGCUGUAGGGGCUGCUGCGAGGCGGCGGUGACGGCGUGUCCGCUGUCUGUCGGGGCCGUUGCGUGGUGAAGGUUUGUGAAUCAGUAUACCAGCCGCUGCCGAUGACGUCGUGUGGUGAGGCGAUCGCCGCGCGCGCGCGCGAGUGAUACAUGCAGCGACGAGGCGUGUCGUCUGUGUCGAUACGUAGUGACAUUGCGGCUUAGUAAUAUGUGGAGAUGUCUGCCGGCUGCUGAAGCCUGGCGCGCUGUCACGUCUGCAUCGUGGAGGAGCGAGGCGGCGGCGUGGCAACACUGCAGCAUAGUGCUCGAAUGAUGAGAGAAGUGGGAGAGAGGCAGUAAGAGAGCGAGUGUGUGUAUGCGACAGAGAGAA